GCGAAGCAUAUAACAUGAAGUUUUCGGACGGAAUGUUAUCUGACUGAGCGGCGGACGGGUGAGUAACGCGUGGGUAACCUGCCUUAUACAGGGGGAUAACAGUUAGAAAUGACUGCUAAUACCGCAUAAGCGCACAGUACCGCAUGGUAGUGUGUGAAAAACUCCGGUGGUAUAAGAUGGACCCGCGUCUGAUUAGCCAGUUGGCGGGGUAACGGCCCACCAAAGCGACGAUCAGUAGCCGACCUGAGAGGGUGACCGGCCACAUUGGGACUGAGACACGGCCCAAACUCCUACGGGAGGCAGCAGUGGGGAAUAUUGCACAAUGGGGGAAACCCUGAUGCAGCAACGCCGCGUGAGUGAAGAAGUAUUUCGGUAUGUAAAGCUCUAUCAGCAGGGAAGAAGAUGACGGUACCUGAUUAAGAAGCCCCGGCUAACUACGUGCCAGCAGCCGCGGUAAUACGUAGGGGGCAAGCGUUAUCCGGAUUUACUGGGUGUAAAGGGAGCGCAGACGGCAGUGCAAGUCUGGAGUGAAAGCCCGGGGCCCAACCCCGGAACUGCUCUGGAAACUGUGCGGCUAGAGUACUGGA
Molecule: ribosomal RNA, 587 nt
Filed under: uncultured bacterium
Lineage: Bacteria
Description: bacterial SSU rRNA
Rfam family: Bacterial small subunit ribosomal RNA
Source: RNAcentral